This 319-nucleotide ribosomal RNA is filed under the name uncultured eukaryote. Its description in RNAcentral is "partial 18S ribosomal RNA". It matches the Rfam family "Eukaryotic small subunit ribosomal RNA", at positions 1470 to 1796 of the family's 1831-position model. The record is from RNAcentral.
CCCUUAGAUGUUCUGGGCUACACGCGUGCUACAAUGGUGUUUCCAGCAAGUCUGCGAACCCGAGAGGGCCAGCGGAUCUUCGAAUUGGCGUCGUGAUCGGGACAGUCGAUUGCAACUAUUUGACUCAAACGAGGAAUUCCUUGUAAUCGCGAUUCAUCAUAUCGCGCUGAAUACGUCCCUGCCCUUUGUACACACCGCCCGUCGCUCCUACCGAUUGAGCGAUCCGGUAAAUGUUUUGGAUUGGUGCCGGGGCGGCUAGCUGCCGGUCGCUACGAAAUUUUGUGAACCUUAUCGCUUAGAGGAAGGAAAAGUCGUAACA